AGGACGAACGCUGGCGGCGUGCUUAACACAUGCAAGUCGAGCGGUAGGGCCCUUCGGGGUACACGAGCGGCGAACGGGUGAGUAACACGUGGGUGACCUGCCCCCUACUCUGGGAUAAGCCUGGGAAACUGGGUCUAAUACCGGAUAUGACCUGCUGUCGCAUGAUGGUGGGUGGAAAGUUUGUUCUUAAUUGGACACUUCGGUGGGGGAUGGGCCCGCGGCCUAUCAGCUUGUUGGUGGGUGAUGGCCUACCAAGGCGACGACGGGUA
This 269-nucleotide ribosomal RNA is filed under the name uncultured bacterium. RNAcentral describes it as "partial small subunit ribosomal RNA". It matches the Rfam family "Bacterial small subunit ribosomal RNA", at positions 26 to 285 of the family's 1533-position model. The record is from RNAcentral.